This 426-nucleotide ribosomal RNA is filed under the name uncultured bacterium. RNAcentral describes it as "partial 16S ribosomal RNA". It matches the Rfam family "Bacterial small subunit ribosomal RNA", at positions 355 to 774 of the family's 1533-position model. The record is from RNAcentral.
UGGGGAAUAUUGGACAAUGGGCGAAAGCCUGAUCCAGCCAUGCCGCGUGUGUGAAGAAGGUCUUCGGAUUGUAAAGCACUUUAAGUUGGGAGGAAGGGCAUUAACCUAAUACGUUAGUGUUUUGACGUUACCGACAGAAUAAGCACCGGCUAACUCUGUGCCAGCAGCCGCGGUAAUACAGAGGGUGCAAGCGUUAAUCGGAAUUACUGGGCGUAAAGCGCGCGUAGGUGGUUUGUUAAGUUGGAUGUGAAAUCCCCGGGCUCAACCUGGGAACUGCAUUCAAAACUGACUGACUAGAGUAUGGAGAGGGUGGUGGAAUUUCCUGUGUAGCGGUGAAAUGCGUAGAUAUAGGAAGGAACACCAGUGGCGAAGGCGACCACCUGGACUAAUACUGACACUGAGGUGCGAAAGCGUGGGGAGCAAACA